This 239-nucleotide long non-coding RNA is filed under the name Mustela putorius furo (domestic ferret). Its description in RNAcentral is "lncRNA (ENSMPUG00000025102.1)". Lineage: Eukaryota; Metazoa; Chordata; Mammalia; Carnivora; Mustelidae. The record is from RNAcentral.
GAUGAGUGUCAAAGAUUUGCAGUCAUUGUUUUAAAAACCACCACAGUGACAGUUACUGAGCCCGUCCUUGGUGCUAGGUAGCGCCUAAAUGCACAACCGGCCAAGACUGUGGGAAGGUGUUGGGAGUGAGCAUCCCAUCCAACAGAAGAGGAAACUGAGGCACAGACAGGGUGGAGGCACCAAGGCCUUGACCUGUCCAGGGUGGUGUAGCUGGCUGGUGGAGCCAGGAUCAACACGGC